This is a long non-coding RNA of Telopea speciosissima, 150 nucleotides long. RefSeq lists it as uncharacterized. The record is from RefSeq and is a predicted model, not a curated record. The transcript has 4 exons. NCBI's taxonomy places the organism in Eukaryota, Viridiplantae, Streptophyta, Magnoliopsida, Proteales, Proteaceae.
CCUCCGUAGCCACCAAACUCGAACUGCAAUCACUAAUAUUGUAACACUAACCACAGGAAUGACCAGAGAACCAGUAAUUAUUAAGGUCAACUUUCCUGCAACAAGGAAGAAAAUUAAAUCAAAGAAAUUGUUUUGUAAAACAUGAUCUCU